UACGAGGGGGGCAAAUGUUGUUCGGAAUCACUGGGCGUAAAGGGAGCGUAGGCGGGUUUCUAAGUAAGGUGUUUAAUCCCGGGGCCCAACCCCGGACAGGCACUUUAAACUGGAAGUCUUGAAUAGUGGAGAGGUCAGUGGAAUUGGGGGUGUAGCGGUGGAAUGCGUAGAGAUCCCCAAGAACACCAGUUGCGAAGGCGGCUGACUGGACACAUAUUGACGCUGAGGCUCGAAAGCAUGGGGAGCAAACAGGAUUAGAAACCCCAGUAGUCC
This 273-nucleotide ribosomal RNA is filed under the name uncultured bacterium. Its description in RNAcentral is "partial 16S ribosomal RNA". It matches the Rfam family "Bacterial small subunit ribosomal RNA", at positions 524 to 796 of the family's 1533-position model. The record is from RNAcentral.